RNAcentral lists this non-coding RNA (186 nucleotides) under Lentibacillus salicampi. RNAcentral's name for it is "6S / SsrS RNA". It matches the Rfam family "6S / SsrS RNA". Rfam says of the family: E. coli 6S RNA was the first non coding RNA to be sequenced, but its function was unknown until recently. It consists of 184 nucleotides that fold into an extended hairpin structure with a large single-stranded internal bulge. The 6S RNA specifically associates with RNA polymerase holoenzyme containing the sigma70 specificity factor. The record is from Rfam by way of RNAcentral. Lineage: Bacteria; Bacillati; Bacillota; Bacilli; Caryophanales; Bacillaceae.
UCAAUCCUGAUGUGUUCGUCUGAUAAAUUCGUUUUGACCGAACACUUUUAUAAACGGGAGCCCACAUAGGUUUUCAUAUUGCGUGCAAGCCCCGGGGCCGGGGAAGCAUAAUAAAUAUGGAACAGGGCACCCACCUGCCAGGAGCGGGAUCAAAACAAGAAGACAGACGGCACAAUUGGGAUUGAU